Molecule: ribosomal RNA, 925 nt
Filed under: Salmonella enterica subsp. enterica serovar Newport
Lineage: Bacteria; Pseudomonadati; Pseudomonadota; Gammaproteobacteria; Enterobacterales; Enterobacteriaceae
Description: partial 23S ribosomal RNA
Rfam family: Bacterial large subunit ribosomal RNA
Source: RNAcentral
AGACCCGAAACCCGGUGAUCUAGCCAUGGGCAGGUUGAAGGUUGGGUAACACUAACUGGAGGACCGAACCGACUAAUGUUGAAAAAUUAGCGGAUGACCUGUGGCUGGGGGUGAAAGGCCAAUCAAACCGGGAGAUAGCUGGUUCUCCCCGAAAGCUAUUUAGGUAGCGCCUCGUGAAUUCAUCUCCGGGGGUAGAGCACUGUUUCGGCUAGGGGGCCAUCCCGGCUUACCAACCCGAUGCAAACUGCGAAUACCGGAGAAUGUUAUCACGGGAGACACACGGCGGGUGCUAACGUCCGUCGUGAAGAGGGAAACAACCCAGACCGCCAGCUAAGGUCCCAAAGUCAUGGUUAAGUGGGAAACGAUGUGGGAAGGCCCAGACAGCCAGGAUGUUGGCUUAGAAGCAGCCAUCAUUUAAAGAAAGCGUAAUAGCUCACUGGUCGAGUCGGCCUGCGCGGAAGAUGUAACGGGGCUAAACCAUGCACCGAAGCUGCGGCAGCGAACGUAUCACUUAAAGCGAUUCAGCGGGUUACGAUUGACGGAGCGAAGCGACGUCAAAGCGUAUACAAAGUCGAGUCGGUUUAAGGAUACGUUCGUUGGGUAGGGGAGCGUUCUGUAAGCCUGUGAAGGUGGCCUGUGAGGGUUGCUGGAGGUAUCAGAAGUGCGAAUGCUGACAUAAGUAACGAUAAAGCGGGUGAAAAGCCCGCUCGCCGGAAGACCAAGGGUUCCUGUCCAACGUUAAUCGGGGCAGGGUGAGUCGACCCCUAAGGCGAGGCCGAAAGGCGUAGUCGAUGGGAAACAGGUUAAUAUUCCUGUACUUGGUGUUACUGCGAAGGGGGGACGGAGAAGGCUAUGUUGGCCGGGCGACGGUUGUCCCGGUUUAAGCGUGUAGGCUGGUUUUCCAGGCAAAUCCGGAAAAUCAAGG